AAGUCGUAACAAGGUCUCCGUAGGUGAACCUGCGGAGGGAUCAUUACACAAAUAUGAAGGCGGGCUGGAACCUCUCGGGGUUACAGCCUUGCUGAAUUAUUCACCCUUGUCUUUUGCGUACUUCUUGUUUCCUUGGUGGGUUCGCCCACCACUAGGACAAACAUAAACCUUUUGUAAUUGCAAUCAGCGUCAGUAACAAAUUAAUAAUUACAACUUUCAACAACGGAUCUCUUGGUUCUGGCAUCGAUGAAGAACGCAGCGAAAUGCGAUAAGUAGUGUGAAUUGCAGAAUUCAGUGAAUCAUCGAAUCUUUGAACGCACAUUGCGCCCUUUGGUAUUCCAAAGGGCAUGCCUGUUCGAGCGUCAUUUGUACCCUCAAGCUUUGCUUGGUGUUGGGCGUCUUGUCUCUAGCUUUGCUGGAGACUCGCCUUAAAGUAAUUGGCAGCCGGCCUACUGGUUUCGGAGCGCAGCACAAGUCGCACUCUCUAUCAGCAAAGGUCUAGCAUCCAUUAAGCCUUUUUUUCAACUUUUGACCACGGAUCAGGUAGGGAUACCCGCUGAACUA
This 564-nucleotide ribosomal RNA is filed under the name uncultured fungus. RNAcentral's name for it is "eukaryotic LSU rRNA". The stretch from base 212 to 365 matches the Rfam family "5.8S ribosomal RNA". The record is from RNAcentral. Lineage: Eukaryota; Fungi.